Molecule: long non-coding RNA, 839 nt
Organism: Solanum pennellii
Lineage: Eukaryota; Viridiplantae; Streptophyta; Magnoliopsida; Solanales; Solanaceae
Exons: 2
Source: RefSeq, a predicted model, not a curated record
UAAAAACUCAAAACCGUAAUACCCCUCCUUUAAAUAUUCCUGUUCUUGACAGAUUUGGGGGUUGGAAAUUUUUAAGAGAAGAUAGAAAGACAGAGUUAUGGAUUAUUAGGAGAGGAAAAUUUUUGAAAAGAAGAAACAUUUAAACAUGGGAAAUGAUAGGUUUUUUAUCGUCUUUUUUCCUUGAUUCUUUUGGGGUGGUAAUCGUAGGGGAUUUAGUGACAACUUCGUAAGUCAAAAUUCAUUAAGGGUUCUCUGUAACGGGAAGUUUCUUGAUACGAAUACAGAGCCUUAACAAGUUAAUAGCAGUAAGUUUAAGACUGAAUCGAGGAUAUUUUGAAGUCUUGCUCGACCUCCUCUUCCGUUUGUUUGGGUUCGCGUCUGUGCUCGCAUGAUUGAAAGAUCGUCGCCCUCGAACUCGUAGUCUUAUUUUACUACACUGGAAAAGCAUGUGAUACUAUCCGAGUUCACUAUGAACCUUCAUUUUCCCUUUGCAUCUAGCAUGAGAGACUUUGAGGCUCGAAUCCCUUAUUAUUUCGAGUCCAAAACCAAAGGAAGGAUCCAAAGUUGAAAGAGUUGAAGAUAUUUGAAGACGUUGGAUUAGAAGACCUUUCUUUUUCAUUCUCUUUUCUUUUUUAUUAUUUGUAAUGGGCCUAAAACCUUGUCGUUCUUCAUUUUCCCAUUCAUUGUUUAUUAUUAUGUUUAGUCUAGGACAAGUCCGAAAGAAAAUGGGUUGAAAACCCAAAAAGUCAAAUGAGUUAAAACUCAAUGACAGGUGGGUCCAACUACCGUUCAAGGCGAACAGAAAACUAGGAUUUGGACCCAAAUCUCUCUCCUCUCUA